RNAcentral lists this long non-coding RNA (20155 nucleotides) under Panax ginseng (ginseng). Its description in RNAcentral is "long non-coding RNA (PGIN_LNC005102)". The stretch from base 19066 to 19139 matches the Rfam family "tRNA". The record is from RNAcentral. Lineage: Eukaryota; Viridiplantae; Streptophyta; Magnoliopsida; Apiales; Araliaceae.
CCCGGCGAGAGACCCUCUUCAUCUAUUGCUCGGGAGAUACCACAGAACACUUAAGCGAGACCUUACCUCUUAUUGACUUGAACAAACUAACUCCCGUCUUUGGUGAUCUGUACCUCAAAACACACCUUAGACUAGCAAAUUGAAGUUUCAUUGAAUGAAUGAAAAUCAUAAUCUGAAUAAGAGUAUGAUACUAGACGACUAGAGAAGAGAGAGGCAGGAAAGCCAGAUCGGACUGCUUAGAGGAGAUAAGGGACUUAUCCUUCUAUUCUAAGAAACCAACCAAAAGGAAAUAGUUCACCUUGGCAGAGUGACCUGUGGAAAGAUCGAUCUCUGGAUCAUAUGAAAUGCAGUUCAGUGGAAUUCAUGUGAAAAUAGAAAUCUGAAAACAAAGAAAUCAGAGAAUGAAAUUGAAUUCAAUUAGCGAAGAUUGGUCUACUGGUUUACGAGAUUACUGUUUAGCAAACGAGCUGAGAACAAUCAGUCUCACCUACGAUCCUACGAUCUGCUCUAUAAGACACCUCAAUAAGGAAAAAAAAAGAAAGGAUGAGGCAACGUAGGCAGUUCCAUCCACAUCUAUUCAAUUCGUUAUUCCAUUCCGGCUGCUUUCAGUCGAAUCUUCGUUCUCGGUAGUUUCUUCCUAGCCCCCAGUUUGGCUCACUUCUCUUUCCUUCUUUUAUGCGGGCAUCAUGAGGCAGGAUUCGAGUCAACAAUUGACCCAGCAUCCUUGUCAUCACUUAAAGAGCCAAAGCCCGUGGACGGGGUGUAAGCCAUUGAUUUAUAACCAGUAGACCGGAAGGUGGGAGGCACUACCUUUUUAUGGUAAAUGGUAUGAAAUUGGCACCGGAAUUCCUUCUUAAGCUGCUGGUUAGGGUGCUCCCUAUAGAAAAGCACGCAGCGAGAAAGACAGUACCAUACGAGGUAGCAUAGAUCGGUAAGGCAAGAGGGGACGAGCGUGUCUCAGCACUUAGACAAGAUGGAGAAGAUUCUCAAAUAAUUUGUAGCAGUGAGAGUAAAAAUGACUGAUCGUGAUCAGUGACCGGAAAGUCUGCUGAAGUCGUUUGAGUCUUUGACAACCACUCUCUCCCUUUCAUCUCCUCUCUUGUGUCGAUUGUUCUGCUAGCUCCUCUUUGGACCGCCUUCAGAAAGGAAUCAGGUAAGUAAGCCUCCUACUAUUUAUCACCACUUCCAACUAACAAUACAGAAUUAAACCAGUUCCAUAACAAUUCCAGACUGCAAGAAAGCAAGAUACGAAAAUGAUAAAAUAACGAUCGGUUUGGGAGCGCCUGGGGGGAGGAAAGAGGGAAGGUGACCCAUGACGCCAGGGAUUUGUGCAUAUAUAUCCCACCCCAGCUUUGCGAAUGAGAGGGUCUGAUUCUGUGACUCUAGAAGAUAGAUCUAUCUCCUGCUUUGUAUCGGCUCGACUCCUCAACUCGGUCUCGAGCUCUCUAAUACGAUCCUGAAGUAUGGAUUUAAGAAACCUCGCCAUGAUGACUCAGCAAUCUACAAGCCCAUGGGUACUCUAUAAACAAGGAUGCCUACAAGCAUCUAUAAGCCAUCCAUACAAGAAGAGAAUACUUAAAGAAGUGUUGCGCCCCCGGAUAAUAGUAUCCAGGUCUCUCCUCAGCUCGGCAAUCCGUGAAGCAGCCUGACCUCCUCUGACCACGAGUGGCGUACUCUGAUAUGAACCCGUCCUUGAGGUAAUUGUAGAAAUCAUAAUACCAUGGUUCCCAUCAUCCUUGUAAUCUUCCUCGUCUUGACUGGUGAUAGUUCAUCAUGUUCCAACUCUCGAUAGUCUUCAUCCAAGAAGAUGAAUGAGUCCCGUUAGAUGGAAGGGCUCUCUGUGGCUGGGAUGUCCAAUCUCUCGAUGACAAGCAACUCUGUGCUUCGGUGUACUAGCAUGGGUACUAGAGUGGCUGAGUAUUUAUUCCAUAAGGGCUAGCGAAUCAGCCAAGCGAUUGUAGAUUCUCGAAACAUCGGUGAAGGUGAUCUCCCUAAAGUGCUUGAUCAGGUCAAUGGAAAGUUCUUGGUACGAUAUGAGUUGGGGCUCUUUGGUCUUCCAUUCUCCCCCUUACUCAUCUCUUAAUCUAUAAAAAAAGCCUUUCCCCUUUUCAUAAUAAUAAGGUAAGCAUCCAGCUCUUGAUCCACAGCUACUCUUUCUUUACCCUUUCUAUUAGACGCAUUUGACCACUUGCCAACCCCACCAAUACAAUAGAUAGGCCCUUUAACCCUACAAUAACCAAUCAAUGAUUAGGUUCUUUAACCAUUCAGCCAUGGAUGGGUUCAGAUUACUGUUACUUGCAAUUCAAGGAAUUCGCCCUUCGCCUCGCCAAAGCCUUGAUUCGCCUGACCAGUGAACCUUCUAGUUGUACUCGGUUUUUGUCACUUAAUUGCAUUAGAGAUCAUUGACUUAAGCAACGACUUGAAGACAAGUUGGCACUGACUUGAAGACAAGACGACACUGGUUGUGCAGUGAUUCGUGAGGGCUCUAAGAGCUCGGGGGAACAACAAUGCGUUCUAACCUUCCUGUUACACUGAAUGUUGAGUGACUAUAGAAGGAGGAGGGCUCCAUAAAGCCUAUAGAAGCUCAACAGCUAUACUUGGAAUGACGUAAGACCUGACUUUAGAAAGCAUGGAUUUUUCAUAAAAGGGCUCAAUCCCAGACCUAGGGCGAGAAAUGCUUUUUGAUUGAUUCAGGGCGCAGCGAAGCCAAAUUCAAUCAAGGAAAAGGGGGGUGAGAGAAGGAAAAGUAAGACAUUGGUGACAAGGAUGGCUCAGGUCAGUCUUCCACUCAUAAUCACCAUCAGGAAAAAAAGAAAGGAAGGUAGGGAUAAAAGCCACGUGAGCUUCAUUCUUUCCUAUGCAAUGGACCUCACUAGGAAAGGGAAUAAAAAAGGUCAUCCACUCUCUCACAGAAAAGCUAAGUGAUGAGGAGCCAGAUGAGAUUAACUUCGUUAACUACCUUUCUUAUGAGGAGUCACAUUGGGAGAUCUAGACAGUUGAUCAAUGCCAUGGCCAAACAAAUCUAAACCCAAGUCGGUGAGAAAAGGACUCAUCCACGUUAAAGUGGGAAUCAAUGGGAAGAAGACUCGGCCAUCGUAAACAGGGGUCCUACCCAUAACUUUCUCUUAGUAGAGGAGGCAAAUACACUAUAGUACCCCAAUAAUCACAAAGCGAAGUGGGAGCCGGCGACGCACAAGAGCCUUGACAUGAUCUUGGAUCACUAACCCGAUCCUUCUUUCAUGCAAGACAAAAUUACCUUCGAUCGAAGAGCAAGACUCACUGAUCAAAUGGACCAAGCCGGGUGGGAUUGAGCUAGCGACUAGGGCCCAUACCCUUCUAUACAAGACCGGCUAAAGGCGCUAAGACUCCUCUUUCGGAGCCAGAUUGAGCAAUGGCUACAAGUAAGCGUCCGUACUUCUCUACGUAGGCCCAGCGUUUAGAGCUCGAUUUCGAUCCUUUGAAUCUUGGACCCAUCACCCAUCACUAGCUGGCCUUGCCAAAAACCUUGACUUGAGACUACGAGCUUAAUUUUAAGGGGACUUCAUCUUGAAAGAGCGAUAUCUUCCUCUAGGCGUCCGUCCAGUACUUCUCCGAUUAGCAUGUCUUAGGCUCAACUAAGUAAGAAUAGACGAGUUGCAUUUUCACCUUUCCUAUAGGCGAAAAAGUCCUCUUCCAACUAAAGUUAUUACUCCAAGCCAUUUAAUGGCAUCGCUUCCUCCUAUUCCUUCCGAACUUUCCCUUGCUUACCUUGCUACUUUCAUAGCAGAAACCUUAACUACUUCACUCGAUUCCUACCUUGGGUCACGAGCGAUGUCAAGUCUUUUACCCAGAUGAAUACUAAGUGAAAGGGGAUCGAGGGUGUGGGGUCUACUAUUCCCCCAACGGAGUUGGUUGCCACUCUGUCAAUACCAUAUUAGAUCCAAUUCCAGAAUCUUCAUCACCUCCACGGGGAGGAACUUCUUUCUGUGGAAUGCAGACUCAGUAGAGGUUGAGGUCUUAUCCCUGAACUCCCAAAUAGUAAAUGUGGUCAUCAAGACCAGCUUAAAUGCGGCUUUCUUCUAUAAAGCACUACUUCCUAGCCAUUGUAGGCUUGCUCCGCACAGGCUACACAAGCCAGGGUCGGAGAACUUAAUUGGCUUUCAAUCUAUUCAGGUAUAGGUGGGAUGGAGACAAGUACUAGCUCCAUUAGAUGGCAGGCUUUCGGGCAGCUAGUUGGCCUUUUAGAUCGGCUUACUCUUUCUUCAUUGGAAGUGGCUAGAGAUACACGAGGGAGUUAAAGCCUCUCUAAUUGAAUGCGGGUCUUGUGUUAUAGGAGCCGAAGCUGCCUAGUCCUUUAGGUCAGUCAGUUAGCCCACUACGCCAUCAGAGACUGGAUUAGAGGUUGGACCUCCACUUGCGGAAAGAUCACCUAACCCUUUUGGAAUGACUUGAGCCUCACUUACAUCCCGAGGUCUUAGAUUGAGUUUCCGCAUUCUUAGAAAUACCGACGAUUAGGAAUAGCGGUGAAUUAGAAGAAUGGGGAGAAGAAGAACUGAGAAACCUGGUAGGAUUCGCCAACUUCUCCCCCUUGGGCCUUGUCUUACUGCGGUUCCUUCUGGAAAAGAGAGUCUUCCCACAACUCGAGGAAAGAAUCCCGGGGCUGAAAUAUGCUUGCUGGAAAGGUUGGAUCAUCAAGCCUACCCCUCUGUUAUCCACGUUGAGACCCUUGGAAUGGGUUAGCCCUCAAUCUACUGGAGAUGAAUCCGAGGAUUACGAAUCCUACACGUACGUACUUGACGAAAGAUAUCCCUUGAGGGGCGAAAUCGUCCCUGGAGGCGUCGGAGUGGACUUUGAAGGAACGAUGAUCGCCUUGAACAUGAAAGGGGAAGUAGUAAUUCAUGAUAGUAAAACGAGAGUCACUCUAUCAGGCACCAACAGAAUGGAAAUUAGCUUUCCCCGCGCAUAGCUUUCAUUAUAACGAGUCUCCUUUUUAAGGGACUCCUUUGAGUGACAGUUUUGGUAGGGGGACGGGAGCGAGAGCUUUACCUAUGACCGAGAAUUGCACCUUCCUACAGGAAAAAAACUAAAAAAAAUGAAAGACUUUAGGGCUCCUGGUCCUCCACCCCACGAGGAAAGACAAAGCUUUCUCUUUUCAUUCGAGUAAGCUUCACCUCUUCCUAUCGUCUCCUCCCUUUGAUCCUUCGAUCCGGGAUAUGCCAAGUCUUACUCUCAUAUUAGUAGUAGUUGUAGCGACAUCUCCCUUCCUUUGUAGGGGAACGAGCAAUGCCCGGGGAAGAACCCUAAACUCAGUCCUCUCCGUCUACCUCUUUACCAGCUAAGCCACUUACCCCUCGUCUAUUCACUUCUUUAAUGCGGGAAAGGGGGGAUAAGCUUGAUCGAGGAAAUUUUCUUUACUUCGAGUGAAAGGAAAUCAAUCUCUAGCUUUCGACUAAGCUAACUAAGCUAAGAAGCAGAUAGGAUCAAUCUAACUAAAAAGGAUAUUCCCUAGGGCCCAAGGUUUGAAGAUGCUCGACCGGAAAGAAAAUUCAAAUCAAAAAGAGGAAAGAACUAAAGCUUGUCCGGAGACUGAGGGCAGGCAAGCUUGAAGAGGUUUAGGCUUAGGCCGGAUAAAGGUGCAACGAGAACAGAAUCAGUAGAAAGAUCAGGAGCAGGGAGGGAAGCUCAAGACAGAGAUCUGGGAUUCCCACGAAGCUAACUAAAGAGAAAGGGCAUACCCAGAUUGAAUAAACCAAAAGGGAGCCGGGACAAGAUGAUCGACUUCUAGUUGCAGCGGAUCCUGUGGUCCUCCUCAUCUCAUAUCAGAAGAGAGAGAAGAUGCUUGCCCAAUGGUACUAAACCGACAGGGAUAAGAGCUUUUGUACGAGACUCAAAAGGUUCCGAUCGAAGGGAAUGGCAUAUUCCAAAACCAUAUAAUGAGAAAGGUCAUACCUUUCUCCUUACUUAUUCGUCUUUCACUUCUUCUUGUGAGUAAGAUCCUAUGAGAUACCUCCUUCUAUAAGAGGAUAGGCGAGAUGCAAGACACCCGGGAUAUGGGAUAUAAGUCUUCUAAGGGAGAGGUGUGAAAGGUACGAGAGUUGCUCGACAUCAAGGUUUAGAACACACCGACGACCGGGAGUAAUUCAAUUUCAUUAGAUGAAGCCGAAGAAGGGGAUGUUCUUCUCAAAGAAAAAGACUCCCGAACCCAGGGAAAGACUUUGUUUUGCUCCCGUAGAGAAUAUCAUAAUUAGACUAGUGGUGGCAUAAAUAAACCCUACCUUAGGGGAUAGCCCAUAGGGAACGUCUUUUCGCUGCUACUAAACUAUCUCCUUAUAGCCCCAACUCUUCGACAGGACACAAGGACACAUUCCUACUAAAGGCUACCCAGCUUCUUGUGAGCAAACUUUACCUAUUAUCUUGGGAAAGCCAUAUGUGGAAAUAAGGGAAGAAGCAGGAGAUUACCAUAUAAUUUUGGCAUCGACGGCUAUAAAAGGGAGCUAUUCAAGCAGAGAGCACUCAAACUCCAAACCCAUUAUUCUUUCUAUUUCUCUAAGAGAUAGCACCAGCGUCGACUCUUCUCUUUCAAAAGAUUUGACUAUGAAAAGAAAUCCACCCAAUGAGCAUAUACUAGAUGAGCUAAGGCCAAUCUGCAAGCAUUCGAUGCCUAUUUUUAUAUGAUUCAACCUCCUCUUAAAGCCAUCCUUUUUAGCCAGUAGCCAGUAGUUUACCUGCCAGCUUUCGGAUCUAUCUUUGAAUCUCCUAUUUUCUUACUUCUUCAUACUUCAAACUGUAUUACUUAACUUGAGAAAAGUACGUUUUUUGUUUCCCUGUUAGCAGUCUUCCCUUCCUUUCAGCUGUAGGCAUGUCAGCCAGUGAGUCCUUUCAUUGAAGCAUGUCUAGUUCUAUUCUAGAAUCCAGUUGAGAGAAUCAUGUCAGGAAGGAACGAGUGUAACGAGAAUCAGAACGAGCAGAAAACUUUCCACGAGAGGUCAAAGUGGUUAGGCGGUCAGUCAAUCGGCUUGAUAGUUAGUGUAUAUUUGGAAGUACUAGAUCUCUUUCCUUCUAGCCUUUCCGCACCGCACAUCUUAGAUCCUCUUCUGCCAUCCAGUCUAUCGAGCAUUUAGGUUCGGAAGCAUUAGAUCUUUCGUUUCAGAGGUUGCAAGGGAGAAAGAAGGGAGUUUCGAGCCAUUGAUGAGAAUGCUCACCCGCACCGCCUUCUACUCACAGUAGCCGCCCAUUUGUACGAAUAGGAGAGGCGCCAAGGGAUGAGUGUGAGUCGCUUCACCUGUGAUAGAUUGAUUGACUCUGCCGUGGAAGUAGAGGUGGAAUCAAGGGGAAAGAAUCCACCAGAUCGUACCGAAUCAAUUGGCAUUUCCUGACCAGCCAUACCAGUAGAAGUUGUGCAGCUAGCCAGGCUUUAUGAAGUAAGAUGACAGAGGGGAAUUGGGCGUCUCAGAUCGAGGUAGUUCAGGUGCCUGGUGAUAGGACAUUUGAAUGAAUGGAUUCCCGGUAAAGGAUGUAGCCCAGCUUCACCUGUGAUGGUGAGACUUUGGAUGCUUCGCUAUAGAAUAGAUCGAUCCAGUUCCCUUUUCUUUUUCGGUGCACUCGCUUUAUAUCUCCAACACACAAGGAAGGCGCGAAAGGUCUUUCAAUUCAAAGCAGUCGAUUGAAGCGGUAAAGGCGGGAAGGUCUUAUCUGAUAGAGAUCCUGUUAAGACUAUUUGUGUCGCUUUCGGGAAAAAAGGCACCUGACAUUUAUCCUUCGCCCUCGAGCUUUGGAUCUUGAUCUCGCUCUGUUUUUAGAUCUUGAUCUGUCAUUUUGGUUUCAACCAUUGUUCUGCUUCGGCACAUUGUUCUGCUUCUUCCUCAUUUAGCUGGACUGGCUCUUUAGAAUCAAAUGAGAAUGGUGAAAGAAUCAUCAUCAUCAUCUAAUUCAACUCUUCCCUUUGAUCGUAACAACGCAACAUGUGAUGCUAGAGUAGCCCUUUUUGCUGAUUCUGCUGCUGUCACUGAGCCGGCUCUAACAUUUGCAUGAUCUCUCUUUGUAACUCUAGCGGAAGAUGCUCGCCCAAUGAUUGAUUCACCAGCUAGUAGUUAGUUGGUAGGGACAAGCUCACCCGUGUGUAAGGUAAGAGAGGCAUAAUCCUCCUAUACUGAGAUGGACAUUGCAGAUCUUGCUUCUUCAGAUCUUUCUGACUCUCACUCAUAGGCAGAUGAUUCGUAUGUAGAUGCUCAUUUCCUUCACGCCUUUGAUCUGAGGCGAGGGGAUUAGUCCUAGUCUAUUCAACUAGAAAAGUAGGCAGCCAGACCAGAGUAGCUAACAGGGAACAUGCCAGAGUAGACAUCGGUGGAACCGAGGAAGAAUUCAUUAAUAACGUAAUUCAAGGGUUCGAUAGUGAAAAAGUAGAUUGAUUGUCCAGCUAUAUCAGCUUCGACAAAGUGCCUUUCAGACCGAACUUCCCUAGCACAUGCAAGCAGAACUGCAUUGAUCGAUGAAUCUCCUGAUGAGAACUACACCAAGGCUUCGGUUUCGAUAGAGAAUUAACUAGCUUGCGAGGGAGUCGUUGCAUCUCUUCCCAUUCUUUCUUAGGAUUAAGAAAUGGCUGCAAAUGGCUUUCUUUAAGCCGAAAAGGAUAAAUAAUUCCAAGCCCAUCGCUCUUAUUUAAAUAGGAGUUGUAGUUAGGAUUCAGACCUGAUUGCUAUUGGGGUCCACGGCUUCACGCAAGCAAGGAACACAAGGAAAAGGCACCCAGCAUUAGUCAGGUAUAUCUAUCCCUUCUUUGGCUCUUUUUUGAAUUCUUUCUCCCACACACAUUCAUUUCAGCAGGUUGCGCCCCUAACUACCGCACAACUAAGACCCUUGGCUCUUCACACAAUCAGUCUCAUUUCCUUCCUCGGACAAAAGUACUCCAGAUAAGGUGUUCCCCUUUCUAUAUGUACUUUAUAUAUGUAUCCUGAACAGUAUGGAAAUCUCUUCCUCUUUCGAUUGGCAAAGAAGCAAUAAUAGUAAAGUGAUAAAAGAAGCCCACAUCACCCACCUCCCAGACCAAGGGAAGAAGUGCUCUCUAUAGCCUUUAUUUAUUAUGUGUUAAGAAAGUGUGGGCAAAAGGGAUAUAAGCAGCAGUGGAAUCCAGCGGCAGGAUAGACACGAAAGCGGGAUUCAAUUACUUAUGAAAGUGAAGGGAUGAAAUCAAGAAAUUGAAUAGGAGAGGGACCCUAGGCUUUCGCCUUAGAAGUUCUUCUCCGCACGAUCCAGUGCCGUUGCAGCCAAUGAUCAAACCAGUGAGUGUGCCAUUCCAGCGCGUGUAAUUCCUUCUGCUCUUUCCGGUAAGUGAGUAGGGCCAGUCCCACACGAUUAGCAUAGAUAAGAUAAGUCAGGUAGGAUUGGUCGGAAGAAGGAUUGGACAUUUCCAUUGAUCAACUCAUCCAAUCCAGUCUAUGAUCAGGCAAGGGGGCCUAAAAGUAGACGUAACUAUAGGCUUAAGCUCGCUUAAAUGCAAUUUAUCCUUAGGCCGAAUACCUAGUUGAGAAGGGUCCCUAAUGUGAGACCCUUCGUCCAUUCAUUCAAGAUCAAAAGCGGGCCUAAUUGAAUAAUCUCAUCGAGGAUUGCAUGUGAAAAGAUUGGAUCUUCGAAAUCCCCAAUCGUUCGUUACUGAACCUAAAAACUCGCCGCUUAUCAUGUAAAGUAGUGUUCUCGCUAGCUGGAACGGAACUCUCAAAUGGAGGAACAAGCGUAGGCCUUCUUUGAGUAUAGCUUCAAGUAGCUCUAAGAAGUUUAUGUCUUUAUAUCCGGUUCGACACUCGGCUUUCUGAAGUUAUUGCAUUCCAGGGCGUGAAGCUUUCCGUGGACAGGACAGGGUCCGUCAACUAGCUUAGCUACCAAUUGGGGGAUGCUUUCACCUUGAAGGUAUUAACGGGCUUGAGCCAGGCCACGCAAGCAGAGGAAAGAUUAAUUAUAGGCCAGUGAAAGAGAAAGAGAAAGAUUCGCUCUUGGGCUGACCUAUGGAUAACCACACAUCCAAAUAUGGGUAAGUCGAGAGCUUCUCUCUCUGCAGCAGCCUUCGAUCUAGUGUUCACGCUUCGGUUCUACUCUACUAGACAUCGGGGCCCAGAACAUGCUUCUUUUUGUGUGGUAUAGCUCCGAACUUCAGUGUCAACAACUCUAUUCCUUCUGGUGGGCAGUAGUGUAGGGUGCCUGGUUUGCUUCCCGUCAGCCAACCUGACCGUCCAUUACCUUUGAUUGAAAGCAAUCUGUCACCUUCACGGACCCUAGUUUUAAGCAGCGCAACACCUCUUUCAGGUGCUGGUACAACACGAACGGACUAAGUAACAUGAGCGGGUGUCGAUGAUAGCACUCGAGCUGGUGUAGGAAUCUGUCGCAACUGUAGUUACUCUUUUUUCUUUAUCUAUCGAGCGUAUCGGUCCAUUCUGUAUUCCCAUUCUCUUAUAAAGAAUGGGUCUCUUCCCUGGCCUCAUUGUCUCUAUAUCGAUCUCACAAGUCUCUCUGGUAUAGGGAAGGGCUCAUCUGUGAAUGAAUCCCUUUACUUUAUUCCUCUCCCAGAAGGUAAGGAACAAACCUUGAACAAGACUAAGAAAAUUGUCCUUUCCUUACAAAAAGAAGAAGCAACUACCUGCAGGUAUAAUCAAAUUAAAGACUGAUGGGUGUGCAAAAGGAAGCCCUGGCCCUCCUAGCAUUGGAGGGAUUGCAAGAGAUGACCAAGGCAAAUGGCUAUUUUCUUGUUGUGGGCACAUGGCAAAAGCAUCAAGUUUAGCUGCUAAACUUUGGGCAAUAGAAAGACGAUUAAUGCUGUUGAAGGUUAUGAAAUAAAAGAUGUCAUCCUUGAAACUUAUUCUGCAAAAGCUCUAAGUCUGAUUACAAAUGCUGAGAUUGAGUAUCACUCGUGAAGGGCUAUGCUUUAUGCGGGUACCAGAUCAAAUAACUCAUAGUGACUCCUGUUCACAGCCUUUGCCAAGGCUACUUUUGUGCAGACUUCCUAGCCAACAAUGAUAGACCUAUCAUACAUUUGAUACUAACUACGAAAGGAAGCGGAUCGAUCGAACCUAUAGUUAGUCCUCUUUCGAUCGAUUUCUUUCUCUUGACUCUUGAGGAUCUUGAUCGGCUAGGCUUCUAUGUGUUCUUCCGAACAGUUCUAGAAAAAGGCUUGGCCUAUUUCCAAUUAUUUUUGCCUGAGAGCUUGUUUGUGGGGGCUCAUGUCCGUAUUUUUGUACUUGAAUUACAUCCAACCUUCCUCUAUAUGCUAUUCUCUUAAUCCUUUAUUCUUGUUUUCUAAGUAGGGGUUGGAGGCGACUCUAGUACAUUCGCUUUCCUCUGGCAGCACAAUGCCAAUUCUUAAUUGCACGGGGGUGAAGGGGCCUUUCGCUCGGUCUUUAAAGCCUGACUUUGCUCUUCCUUUAUUUUGUUGAGUGGUGAAGCUCGAAAAGAGCUAAAGGGGUGGAGAACCGCCAACUCCAACUCGAGUUGAAUCUUCCCGGAAGAAGGUCGUUUCCUCCAGCAAGGGAGAUGACUUCUUCCAAUUGGUUUGGGUUUCCUCUGCGCCUUGCGAGAGCUCAGAUCUAGUAGCUAAGGAAAGGCACGCUUUAUGCUGUAAUCUUUAUAUUAUGGUGUUGGAAAGGUGGGGUUGGAGUUCAUUUCCCUUUCCAGUCCAGAGGUGUUGGUUCGAGCCCAACUCGUGACCAAGCGGAGCAGAUGCCUCGAUGAAAAAAAGAGACCUUCGCGCACCGAACUAGGGCAUGGUCUCUUGCUUGCAUCUUCUCUUUCCUGUGAAAUGGAAGAUUUAGGCUCAAAAGAAGGAUUUUUCCAUUCAUGCUACCGUUCUUCCUGGGUUCGACUCCCGGCCUGAGCUGCCAUCUCUUUCUCUUUACGCUACUGGAAGCCUAUCUAUUAAUAGCUAUAUGAAAGUCGUUAUUUGCCCCACUGAAUAGAACAGUACACUUUACUCCAAGGUGGAUUGUCUUCGUUCCACAGCACAAAUAGGGCCCGAAGGGCAACCUUUCGGUGGUAUAGAAGAUCGAUGUGCCAUCUUUCUAACCACGUUCAUUUGUUGUAUGAUCAGUAGUGAAAGAAAUCUACCUUAAUAAAUAAAGAAAUCUAUUGUCUUAGAGCGAAAGUCAAGCGAAACUAGAACAUUUCUUUGAUUGAUAGGGCAGAUAGGAAGUAGGCACGCAAACCAAGUUAUAGGUUUGGAAGUUUGAAUUCGGAAAGGUAGUCAUGACCCUUGAUGCAGGAGCAGUGUAUGAUGAAUAAGGCUUAGCUACUCCCUUAGUGGGUAUCACCCCCAAAUCCUGGUACUUCAUUUCCUCAAGAUUUGGUGUUCACUUAAUCAAAACAUUCAUUUCUAACUACCCAAUUAUAAUAAAAUUGAAUAAUAAAAACCUGCCCAUACAGGAUUAAACUUAAAUAAAAAUCUCCCAGGUUGUCUAACCUUUAAUUACAAACAUUCAAAUGCGGAAAAUUAAAUAAACUUCAUUACAAUCUUUGAAUCAAAGUCUGAUAAUAAAACUAUCAAAACUAUUACAAGUCUUCAUCACUUGUACAUUUUUCCAUUCCCUUUGCUAGUAGUAGGUUCACCUACCUUCUCUUCUUUAGCUGCAAUGAGUUUAUAAAUAUGCAAGAAUGAGUAAAACAAUUGCUCACUAGGUAUAAUAUGGAAUCAACAGGAGUAUAACAAUAAUAACUGUCGAAAUAGGCUCAUCAAAAGUGAAUAGUACUCUAUCAAUAAUAAUCACAAACUGAAAUCCCAAAAUAUGGAAAAUAUACAUCACUGAGGGUCGUAAGACCAUGAACUACAUCCACAAUUGCAAGUAAUCUUUCAACUCCAACUUUAACAGUCAUAAGACUAUAAGGACCUCGUACUUAGAGAUACAAAUCAAGUUGUACUGUCAUCAUUAUAAGCUUGUAAAAUGUCUAUUCACUUGUAGCAUUAUUUAUGAGCACCAAUUAUUAUCUUGAUCCGUGUGUAGCUUGUCUUCUUCAGGAUAUUUGAUUUAGAUAUUAAUUUGGUAGUCAAUAAAAAGGGUAUUACCUUCUUCCAUGUCCCUUGAUUAGUAAGAAAAUAACACAACAUUAUUGUCUUUGUGUAUUGAUUUUGGCACUAAGUGCCUCUGGUGACAUAUUUGCUUCAUUUUCCUAACUUGCUAUUAUUUUUAAAUAUGUGCAGGAAGACUGCUUCUACGACCUGCCUUACAAUACUGGGUAUCAAAUUUUCGUGCUACGUUUACGGAAGACAAGGGACGAAAUUAUGAAGUGUACUCUCUCUAUAUAUGUAGAUAUAUACUUUGAUUGAAGAACUGUGGUAGCUUUAGAUGGUUAAUUGUAAAGAUAAUGAAUGAUUAUGUAGUGGAUGAUUUUAUUAAGUUAAUAAUAUUUUAGUUUUUUGUAUUUUUGCCAUUAUUUGCUAUGGGGACAUUGAGCCAGCCAGGUACACAAAAAGAAUGUCAAAUUUUGAUUUGGCAACAAUAUAAUUCGUUACCAAAGCAUUGAACAAGUUUUAAUAUAGCAACAAUUUUUUAUACAUUUAGCAACAAAUUUUCGUUGCUAAUGGCAUUAAAAAUAUAAUAUUUGGCAACGAAAAAUUAACCUAAUAACAACGGAGAGGAUAUUGUUGCUAAUACUAAAAUAAAAGGCAACAUUUUUUAUCGUUGCAAAUCAUAUCAACUUUCGUUGCACAUAUAAAGAAACGACAACAUAUAAUGUCGUUGCUAAUCGACGACUUUCGUUGCUAUUGAAAAAUAACCAGCAACAAACAUUUUCGUUACUGAUUCAGCAUAAUGUCGUUGCCAAAUAAUAUAAUCAGCAACGAAAAUCGUUGCUAAAAAGUUUACAUUCCGCAACGAAAGCAAGCUUAGGCAACAAUUUUCAUAAUUUACUGCAACGAAAAAUGUCGUUGCAAAAUGGUGUCAAUUGCAACGAAAAUGCAUGGUCGUUGUAAAAAAAAAAGAGUUCAUUUCGUUGCCAAUUAGCAGGCUUUUGCAACGAAAUGGGAUUUUUAGCAACAAAAUUUUAAUUAUUCUGCAACAAUACAUUUUGUUGCUAAAGGAUCAAUGUCUCUGUACGAAAGCCAAAUUUCGUUGCAAAAUGUAUUAGUUUUGGCAACAAAAAAAAUACGUUCGUUGCGGAACAAUUAGCAACGCUCAUUGCGCAACAAAAGACGUAACGACAGUAAAGUCGUUGCCAAAACCCUUUAGCAACAAAAUUUGGCACCUUUAGCAACGAAAAUUGGUUGUUACUGAAGCCCCAUUUUUUUGUAGUUGUAGUUGCUCUUUUGUCUUUAUCUAUCGAGCGUAUCGGUCCAUUCUGUAUUCCCGUUCUCUUAUAAAGAAUGGGUCUCUUCCCCUGGCCUCGUUGUCUCUAUAUCGAUCUCACAAGUCUCUCUGGUAUACGCAAGGGCUCAUCUGUGAAUGAAUCCCUUUACUUUAUUCCUCUCCCAGAAGGUAAGGAACAAACCUUGAACAAGACUAAGAAAAUUGUCAUUUCCUUACAAAAAGAAGAAGCAACUACCUGCAGGUAGAAUCAAAUUGAAGACUGAUGGGUGUGCAAAAGGAAGCCCUGGCCCUCCUGGGAUUGGAGGGAUUGCAAGAGAUGACCAAGGCAGAUUGUUAUUUUCUUUUUGUGGGCACAUGGCAAAAGCAUCAAGUUUAGCAGCUAAACUUUGGGCAAUAGAAAGACGAUUAAUGUUGUUGAAGGUUAUGAAAUAAAAUAUGGCAUCCUUGAAACUUAUUCUGCAGAAGCUCUAAGUCUGAUUACAAAUGCUGAGAUUAAGGAUCACCCGUGAAGAGCUAUGCUUUAUGCGGGUACCAGAUCAAACAACUCACAGUGACCCCUGUUCACAGCAUUUGCCAAGGCUACUUUUGUGCAGACUUCCUAGCCAACAAUGAUAGACAUAUCAUACAUUUGAUACUAACUACUGAAGGAAGCGGAUCGAUCGAACCUAUAGUUAGUCCUCUUUCGAUCGAUUUCUUUCUCUUGACUCUUGAGGAUCUUGAUCGGCUAGGUAGGGGAGAUCUCAUAUCCCAGUUCGAGCCAAGACGAGGAUACAGAAGUGGAUGGAGGGAUUGCCCUAAUACUUAAGUCAGGCUAAAAUGGAGAUAUGGUCCGAAAUAGGUAUGGGUAGGAUUUGGAUGCUAUGAAGGAGUCGACCAAUACUUAGCUUAGGUAUUUGGCUCAGGAAAGAAGGGGAAGAGCGGAUAAGACAUAAUAUAGGUUGUUCGGCUCUGCGAUUCUCCCAUAUAGAAAGAGUUUGGGAAUACAGGGAUGAGGUGCUGGCACUUCGUCUAUGGGCAUUAUAGAAAUGAAAGGUUUAUCCGCUCAUAAUGAUUGUAGAGUCUUUUCGGGUUAGAGGUCUAAUAGUAGUCACAUCAAGUCCUCCCCCUCUUACUCAGGAUAGCUAGCGAGAGGAAUACUACUGAUUAUCCAUGAAAGAAGGCUUUGAAGAAUGAAAAAAAAUCUUAUCUAAGGAUAGAGAGCCCCCACCCGCCUUUUCAAAUACGAGCGAGUGAGUGCUUUUUCUGCUAUGAAUGAAUGACCUCUCCAUUUAUUUUCAAGCUUGCUCUUCAAACCGGCCUAUCACUCUCCUCUAUGAAAAGGUUCUUCUAUAAUCAUUCUCAAUAAGACAUCUAUUCCCCUUUCAAAUGAAAAGAUAACUAGACUUUUCUCUUCAUCAUUGAAAUCCGCCAUUCAAUCGCAGUACGGUGCUCUAAAAAAGCUCAAUCCUCUAACGCUGAAACAAAUAGAUCAGGAAUUCGACCUGGGAUCCGCCCGUUCCGAUCCUUGCUUACUAAACCGUUGCACCCCCGGAUAUGUAUGUUGGGAGAACCCCAGGAUCCUUCCGUGUGGAAGAGAAGGAAGAAAGAAAGCGAACACGAAUACUAAAAUCGGUUCAUGAGGACCUCAAAAAAAAGGGGAUAGAGAGCACGAAACGGGCUUUCCAAGCAUAAACCAAUCCCUACCUAUACAUUCCAUGGCAACAGAUAGAAGGCAAUUUUGUCGUUGUUAUUAACCCCAGGCCCAUUCCCGUUCCCAAUAAUCUACAUGAAAAGACUACCCUGAUUUCUGAAUGAACCGAGGGAGAGUCCAGGCAUGAAAAAACUUUUAUAUGCUCCGGGUAUUUCCAAGUAUGUAUCAUCUGCUGCGUUAUCCACUGCUUUAUCCGCCGUCUCCGCGGCCGCCAAAAGCCUGCCCUCUCUCAGAUAUUGAGUGGGUUGACCCGGGGAUCCGGACGAAACGUCCAACAAGCAGAAUAGAAGUUGACCACAAAGCCAUCUCUGUGGGAGGAUGCUACCCAUAAGGACAUCUCGGGCAUGGGAAGGAAAGGCGGCGGACAACCGACUGAACUGGGGAGCCUAAACGGCAUUGAGGAUGAGUCCAACGGUCGACAAACGACUUCUAUCUAUAGGUGCUUUCAUUAUGGAUCUAUUGACUUGUCACGAUUGAUUGCUCACACACAAUUAGGUUAGGCAGGCUUGGGGAGGUGAUCUGAAUCGCUAUCGAUACGAUGCGGGGCCGGUUUGCUGACCGUAACGAACUUUACUCUGCCCCUAAAAAAAAGAGCGGGCAGACCUUUGACCUAGGAUGGGGAGGGAUUGGGGUCACUUUGCUUUAGGACUUUAGUUCAUAACAAGGCUCGAAGACCUCCGGCUGGAUUUGAAAUGGAUCAGGUAGGGCAUCCGUUUACGGCGUGGGUGGGAUUAGCAGUUUUCUCUAUUAUUUCCUUCAAUGGUAAGAAAUCUGCAUCCGCGGGGCAUAUGGUAGAAAGCCAAUCUACAGUAACUCUAAUUGCUCCUUCGGAUCACUAAGGAAAAUCUUGACUCACACAUACCGCAGUGUAUUCUUGUCAACUCACAUAGUCGCACCUACCAGCAACAAUACGACUACUCCCUGCACGCCGGCGCUAUUUAACGACUUGGUUCGCCCAAUACAAGAACUACAACCCAACCUAGCUUAAGGCUAAAGUCGCGGACUACGCCCCCGUGAGAGCCCUCUAUUUGACUAGCAUACCCCCUCCCCCCAUACCUUCAUAUUUGGGAAUGAUUUACCUUCGGAUUCAAAUAAUAACGCAUAAUGGCAGUACUCCUUCCCAUUUCUUCUUUUAUGAUUUUAUCUACUUGAAAUGCUUACAGGUAAGUGUGGAGAAGGUACCCAGGGGACCAAACAAAACGGCAUUGAAAGGUCUUCAAUUAAAGCUUCGUCCUGGCUAAAGAGAAUAAAGAAAAGCUAAAGGUAAGGAUUUUGAGAAUAUGCAACUCCCCUUUAGUUGUUGUCUUAAAUGAGUUCCUCUAUUCAUUUUACUUAUUAUUAGUUAGGAAUUUCUUUUUAUUUAAAAAAUUUAGGAAGAUUGGGGAACUGUCUUAAGCCUGUUGAAGCAAGUGUAACAAGGGGACUCUCCCAAGAAAAACCCGAGUGAAACACCUUCCAGAGCGAACUGUUUUCUUUUGUUUAAUCUUCCACUAUUCUUAAUUUAUGCUUCGCCCUCAAGAUAGAAAGUCGAUAUAAUAGCUUUUUUAGAAUACUUAACUCUUAGUCUUUUUUCUUCUUGCUCGUUUCCUUUAAAGCUUCGCCAGUACUGAAAGACGAGUAAAGAUUGCUAAAGCAGACUUAAGGAAAAUACCCCACCUUACCAGAUUUGUGACAAAAGGAAAGGGUCGAAAGACCUAUUUGAUGAGUUUCCUUAUGAGUGAGUUCGUAGGUGCCUUUCCUUUAAUUUAAGUCGAAUGUAGCAAAGGGAUUCUCCAAAGAGAAGCUUUAGAGGGAAUAGGGGUGAAACUACUUUUAUGAGCUUUUUCAGUAAUGACCGACUUUAUUAGCUGUAUGAUUAGUGGCUUAGCUGUUAGCUGUGUAAAAGCUACGGUCAAAAUAAAUCCCUUUUGAAAAUAAACCACUAAUACGCCUUAGGUACUCUUUUAGGUCUGUGUAAGGCGGAGGGAAUGGAAUGCAUGAGGCUGAAAAGCCGUAGUGCGCUAGCGAGUUAGCGCAACAACUUAGUGUCUUGUUUUCUUCGCUAUUUUUUUAACAUAAGGUUAAACGAAAGCGGUUGCUAAUGCUUAUAGCUUGCUUCUGUCCUUAGUCAAUUUUGGACUGAAACUGUUCUGACUGCCGUAUAUUUUUUGAACCGAAUACCUUCCUCUGUCAUCUCUGGUCUGUCUCUUUUUGAGAGAAUCUUUUAUACCCCGCCUGACUAUGAAGAGCCCUGAGUCUAUCGGGGGAGGAUGUGGUGGUAACCCCCGCAGCUUCGUCUAGAUCCGGGCGUCCAACCGUGCAGGAAGACUAACCCUAGCCACUAUAGCGACCCCACCCCCAACUCUAGCUGAGAAGCACCCCCCAUCCACUUCCCCCUUUCUGUGUGCCCAAAAGCCUGCCCGAUUUAUGAGCCCCUUUCCGAUUACCUCACCCAAUCUCAUGAGAAGCAAGCCCUGCCUUAACCUGCCCCCAGAUAGCCAGCCCUCACACGGCUGCUGGCAUUGCUAAAUGCUCCGCCACGAAGCAAGCUCUCCCGAAUAUGACAGAUGUGGAAGUGGGGAAGCCGGAAGUUACUAAAGAAGUCAGAGGAAGAAAGUCGUUGGACAACUGUAUACACGAGGGUACUUUAGUAUUCUGAGAAUUGGCAACAUUGACGAAAGGGGAAAGGGUAGGAAACCCCUUUUAUAGGUGUAGAUAUACUAAAGUAGUCGGCCGUUCCCGUAACCAAGUUUUUCUUUCUCACUCCUUAUCUACUUUUUCUGAAGUGUGGGGCAAACGACGCCCUCUACUUCUACUUCUAACUAAAGGCGAAGAGCCGGCAUUGCAAGCUUUUAGAGAGCCCCAGCCCGUUUGAGCCGUUGCGAGCCGGAAAGCGUACCGACAAUUUGAGUCGCGAAAGCGCCGCUUGCUUAACUAAAUUAUAUUAUUAGAAUUUUAAUAAUAAUAAUAGAUAUAGAAUAUUCUUAUUCUAUAUCUAUCUAUAAACAAUAAAAAAAUAAAAUCUUUUUUUUUAUCCUAUUGUUCAUUCCUGGAAAGAGGAAGAAGCGGAUAGAGCAAAGGCCUCCUCUUUCCGUCCGCUCUUCCUGAAGUGAGCGAAUAGCAUGCAGAGAUCCGUAGGGGCUUAUAGUUUAAUUGGUUGAAACGUACCACUCAUAACGGUUAUAUUGUAGGUUCGAGCCCUACUAAGCCUACCACCCUCUUCUCUUCACCUGAUACAAGGCAGUCGAAGUUCCCGCCGCCCUGCAGAUCUCAAUCUAGCAACGACACCUGGAACCACACUGCUGUCGCUGCCCUUUGGGCACGCCUCCUACGCUUAUCACGCACGUACGCUCUUGCAGCAUGCCCCCUCCGGGCAAUACGACUUUGUAAUAUGCGAAGCAGCUGAGCGAUAACUCUUCGAUCGCUAUAUUCUUGCGAUAGCGAAGGCGUGGUUCAUCAUCUAAGAGAGAGUAGAUACGAAGGUUCGGAUCGAAGAUCUUCGCGAGACGCCCCAUGAAUGUCGAGAAUCGAGCGUGGGGCUUGAAGACCCUGCCGCAUUUCGGCCCCGGGGCACCAUAGCAUGUCGGGAAUAAGGGGGGAUAUACUGGACGUAACCACUCCCUUGUUUGGGGGCUGCGUCGCCCCUAUCCUUUAAAUUGAUGGAUUCCCAGGUCUUUUUUAUUCUCACUGUUGGAAGAUUAUUAAAGACGACCUGGUCAGGGCGGUUCACAAUAUCUUUGCUACAGGCGCUGUUAAGCCCUAAGUUUUCAUUCAAAUUGCAUUGCCCUUAUUUUUUAUAUAGAAAGUCCUUAACAUUUUAACCCAUUCUGACCUACCUUUAUUUAUGGGAUAUUUGAAGGAGAGCUUUGUCACUUUUUCUAAUAAAUUCUCUUUAGCUCGAAGAAUGAGUUGGAUUCUCCCUAUCCUUUUUUUAAGGAACAAGGGGAUUUUGUUAAAGGACUAAUGUAGAGAAGAUCUCCUUGGCUCACGAGGUGGCUUUAAGUGAUAGGGGAUUUAAACCGAAAGGCUUAAUAGGAAGGGGGGUCAAAAGAAACUCAGGAUAUGGCAAAAGCAUCUUUUUGGAUCGAAUUGGCUUUUUAGGAGUAAUGAGAAAAUUCGGCUUUUGUGAGAAAUGGCGGAAUUUUCUACAUGGAUGUUUAUGUAAUGAACACUUUGGAGUGCUUGUGGAUGGUGUGCCACAUAGGUACUUUCCAGCUUCUCGAGGGCU